CAUUGGCUUCUGAGGAUGCCAAUCAUGUCAUUUAGGACAUGAUUAGGAGACUUAUUUUUAAGCUUUUUUCCCCAGUCCUGAGCGUACGAUAGCAACGUCUUGGUGGAGGGGGAAUGCUAGGCCCAUUUUUUAGUAACAGGCCUGCACGCCUGCCAUUGCACAUGGCAUAGGGAGAGGCGUGCUGCGAUGGCAAGCUUCGGAGAGCCUCCCUGCAAGGGCCCGCCGAUGUGCCUGGGCACGUGCAGGGCUCCCGCAGUGCUGGGGACACUUGCAGAGGUCGCCUGAAACCGUGUGGCCAGCUUCCAGGUCUGGUUUUAAGGGAGGCUUCAAGGCUGCCCUUAAGCACGCGCUGUAGACAGUCAAUAGGACUGCCAAAGCAGCUCAGCCUGUUUCAAGGAAUAAAAGGGAAGAUUAAAAAUGUGUUUGUUCCUCCUUGAGGAAAGAACUGGGUGACCGCUGAAGCUGCACAAUGCACUCCACUAUCUGCCACGCAGAACUAGGCAAAUUUCAGCCUAGCACUGAGGGUGAUUGCAAGGAGGGUAACUGAAAUAACUUUCCUGCGUGACUUUGUAUAAUUGUCUUAAAAUGCAGCAGGGUUCCGCCUGUAGUUCUGCACUCCUAUUGCUUGUUUAAACAUGUGUGUGUGUUUGCUUGUAACCAUAAAAAAGCUUCUUACCAGAACUGGGAAAGACGCUACAGAUCUGCAUCUCUUUCCUUUCCCAGCACGGGCUGUGUGGUGUCACUGCUCCAUCUCUCGCGUUCUCUUGUAAUCCGGCUGAAGUGCAAUUCCAACAGGCCAAUAUUUUUCAGGGAACCAGGAACUUGGAAGCACGUCUGCGAAGCCCAAGCUCAUCUACUUCAGUGGAGCCGGUCCGAUGGCUGCUGGCAGCAGCCGGGGUGGAGGUUAGUCAGUGCCGAACACGCUGCUCCGGACUGAUGUUCUCCCCGGCCUCCGCAAGGAACAACUUAACAUUCACACAGAGGAAAAAUGGCUGCAAGAUGCUGGCUAGAUUCAUUUGGCUAGUAGAACUGGCCGGCAUGUUUGGCACUACCCUGUGUAAUGACUAAAGUUUGGGAAACAAACUCCGUGGAGGAGACUUCUUUUAAAGGCUCCUAAAUACUGAGCUUGCCAGCUGUGCAGAACCACCGUAACUCAUUUAGCUCACAGUUACGCUGUGUAUAAGGGAAAGGAG
This 1193-nucleotide long non-coding RNA is filed under the name Struthio camelus australis. RNAcentral describes it as "lncRNA (ENSSCUG00000009113.1)". Lineage: Eukaryota; Metazoa; Chordata; Aves; Struthioniformes; Struthionidae. The record is from RNAcentral.